This 101-nucleotide transfer RNA is filed under the name Staurastrum punctulatum. RNAcentral's name for it is "tRNA-His". The stretch from base 2 to 74 matches the Rfam family "tRNA". Rfam says of the family: Transfer RNA (tRNA) molecules are approximately 80 nucleotides in length. Lineage: Eukaryota; Viridiplantae; Streptophyta; Zygnematophyceae; Desmidiales; Desmidiaceae. The record is from RNAcentral.
GGCGGACGUGGCCAAGUGGUUAAGGCAGUGGAUUGUGAUUCCGUGAUUCGCGGGUUCGAGUCCCGUCGUUCGCCCUCGCUAUCCAAAUUUCAAAUUUUUUG